GAUGAACGCUGGCGGCGUGCCUAAUACAUGCAAGUCGAGCGAACAGACGAGGAGCUUGCUCCUCUGACGUUAGCGGCGGACGGGUGAGUAACACGUGGAUAACCUACCUAUAAGACUGGGAUAACUUCGGGAAACCGGAGCUAAUACCGGAUAAUAUAUUGAACCGCAUGGUUCAAUAGUGAAAGACGGUUUUGCUGUCACUUAUAGAUGGAUCCGCGCCGCAUUAGCUAGUUGGUAAGGUAACGGCUUACCAAGGCAACGAUGCGUAGCCGACCUGAGAGGGUGAUCGGCCACACUGGAACUGAGACACGGUCCAGACUCCUACGGGAGGCAGCAGUAGGGAAUCUUCCGCAAUGGGCGAAAGCUUGACGGAGCAACGCCGCGUGAGUGAUGAAGGUCUUCGGAUCGUAUAACUCUGUUAUUAGGGAAGAACAAAUGUGUAAGUAACUAUGCACGUCUUGACGGUACCUAAUCAGAAAGCCACGGCUAACUACGUG
Molecule: ribosomal RNA, 497 nt
Filed under: uncultured bacterium
Lineage: Bacteria
Description: partial 16S ribosomal RNA
Rfam family: Bacterial small subunit ribosomal RNA
Source: RNAcentral